AUUGAACGCUGGCGGCAGGCCUAACACAUGCAAGUCGAACGGUAGCACAGAGGAGCUUGCUCCUUGGGUGACGAGUGGCGGACGGGUGAGUAAUGUCUGGGAAACUGCCCGAUGGAGGGGGAUAACUACUGGAAACGGUAGCUAAUACCGCAUAACGUCUUCGGACCAAAGUGGGGGACCUUCGGGCCUCAAACCAUCGGAUGUGCCCAGAUGGGAUUAGCUAGUAGGUGGGGUAAUGGCUCACCUAGGCGACUAUCGCUAGCUGGUCUGAGAGGAUGACCAGCCACACUGGAACUGAGACACGGUCCAGACUCCUACGGGAGGCAGCAGUGGGGAAUAUUGCACAAUGGGCGCAAGCCUGAUGCAGCCAUGCCGCGUGUAUGAAGAAGGCCUUCGGGUUGUAAAGUACUUUCAGCGGGGAGGAAGGCGUUAAGGUUAAUAACCUUGGCGAUUGACGUUACCCGCAGAAGAAGCACCGGCUAACUCCGUGCCAGCCGCCGCAGUAA
RNAcentral lists this ribosomal RNA (506 nucleotides) under uncultured bacterium. RNAcentral describes it as "partial 16S ribosomal RNA". It matches the Rfam family "Bacterial small subunit ribosomal RNA", at positions 30 to 523 of the family's 1533-position model. The record is from RNAcentral.